UCGAGAAUCAUUCACAAUGGGGGAAACCCUGAUGGUGCGACGCCGCGUGGGGGAAUGAAGGUCUUCGGAUUGUAAACCCCUGUCAUGUGGGAGCAAAUUAAAAAGAUAGUACCACAAGAGGAAGAGACGGCUAACUCUGUGCCAGCAGCCGCGGUAAUACAGAGGUCUCAAGCGUUGUUCGGAAUCACUGGGCGUAAAGCGUGCGUAGGCGGUUUCGUAAGUCGUGUGUGAAAGGCGGGGGCUCAACCCCCGGACUGCACAUGAUACUGCGGGACUAGAGUAAUGGAGGGGGAACCGGAAUUCGCGGUGUAGCAGUGAAAUGCGUAGAUAUCGAGAGGAACACUCGUGGCGAAGGCGGGUUCCUGGACAUUAACUGACGCUGAGGCACGAAGGCCAGGGGAGCGAAAGGG
Molecule: ribosomal RNA, 410 nt
Filed under: Acidobacteriota bacterium
Lineage: Bacteria; Pseudomonadati; Acidobacteriota
Description: Acidobacteria bacterium partial 16S ribosomal RNA
Rfam family: Bacterial small subunit ribosomal RNA
Source: RNAcentral